CGAACCAAGCCAAAUAUACCGUACACGUGUUAGGUGUUUUUAAUUUUCCAUGCAAUUCUUGGACACAUUGCAUGAUUGUCUGUCAAAUGGUUGGAGUUUUGACGUCAUUAAUGUCAAGUAGCAAAAAAGCUUUUGGUAUUAAUGAAGGUUUGGACCGAUUACUCUAUCAAUUCAUAUGUAGCAUGAUGUGUUUUUUUAGCUAGAGUGUAGUUGAGUUUGGGUAGGAUGGGCCAGCAUGUGUCCAACCUUGUGGUUUAUAUUUCAUCCAAGAUUACCGGCACAAUAGGGAAUUGACCUCAAAAAAUAUGAGAGAAGCUGAGAUUUUGGAAUUUUGUAUAUAACAAAAAAAGAUAUAUUUUGUGUGUGUGUGUGUGUGUAUUUUUUCCUUUCUCAAUUUGAUUGAUUAUAUCCGUGGUAUAUAUAUUGUACGUUAAGUAUAAGUAAGAGCUGGAUAUUAAUUUCAUUAUUCCAAAUGGUACAGCUAUUUGUAGACAAAAUUCAUUAAUGCAAUAAGCUGUCUACUGUCGUCCUCGUCCUUCCUAUCCCAUUUCCAUUUUUUGUUUGUCUUUGUCAAAAUGGUUUAUUUCGGGAUAUUUCUUUUAAAUUAUAUAUGUAUGAUAAUUAUGUAUUCAACUAAAAAACUUUAGUUUACAAUUAAUUAUUCAC
Molecule: long non-coding RNA, 666 nt
Filed under: Cicer arietinum (chickpea)
Lineage: Eukaryota; Viridiplantae; Streptophyta; Magnoliopsida; Fabales; Fabaceae
Description: long non-coding RNA (CARI_LNC000861)
Source: RNAcentral